GCCGGGGUAGCUCAGUUGGUAGAGCGAUAGUAUCGUAAACUAUAGGUCGCGAGUUCAAGCCUCGCCCCCGGCUCCA
This 76-nucleotide transfer RNA is filed under the name bacterium. RNAcentral's name for it is "tRNA-Thr". It matches the Rfam family "tRNA". Rfam says of the family: Transfer RNA (tRNA) molecules are approximately 80 nucleotides in length. Their secondary structure includes four short double-helical elements and three loops (D, anti-codon, and T loops). Further hydrogen bonds mediate the characteristic L-shaped molecular structure. tRNAs have two regions of fundamental functional importance: the anti-codon, which is responsible for specific mRNA codon recognition, and the 3' end, to which the tRNAs corresponding amino acid is attached (by aminoacyl-tRNA synthetases). tRNAs cope with the degeneracy of the genetic code in two manners: having more than one tRNA (with a specific anti-codon) for a particular amino acid; and 'wobble' base-pairing, i.e. permitting non-standard base-pairing at the 3rd anti-codon position. The record is from RNAcentral.